CUACAAUGAUGGCAGUACUUUUUGUCAACAGCAGUUCACCUAGUAAAUGUUGAUACUUUGGGUCUGAGUGG
Molecule: non-coding RNA, 71 nt
Organism: Callithrix jacchus (white-tufted-ear marmoset)
Lineage: Eukaryota; Metazoa; Chordata; Mammalia; Primates; Cebidae
Source: Rfam